This is a long non-coding RNA of Cynoglossus semilaevis (tongue sole), 1747 nucleotides long. RefSeq lists it as uncharacterized. Lineage: Eukaryota; Metazoa; Chordata; Actinopteri; Pleuronectiformes; Cynoglossidae. The record is from RefSeq and is a predicted model, not a curated record. The transcript is spliced from 2 exons.
CCCAUCUUAUGGUGAUUCAUUAAUUCUCUUUUUUUAUAUUUUUUUUUGGACUGUUGCAAAUAUUCUAAUUGUAUGCCACCUUUGAUGCUCAUUAUUAACAUUAUUGUUUGAUUUAAAGUGGCAACAGGAAUGUUAGGGCCACAGUUACAUUUAUACCUUUCCCUUCAUAUUCAGACAUGAUCAAUAACCAAGUCAUUAAAAAAUAUUAAUUAUUUAGGUUAUUAAUUAAUUUAUUAAAUACUAACUACAAGUUAAAAUAUGUAAUUAAUAAUAAUGUUAUAAUAAUCAUGUGGAGUUCACUCUCUGAGAACUCCAUAUGGUUUCAGUUCAGCUUCUAACGUGUUCCAUGCUGAGGGUGAAGCUAGAAAACGGAAUGCUCUUUUCUCAGUCCUGAGACAUGGAGACGACAGAUGGGAAAUAUUUCCUGGAACGUAAAGCAAAGCUCAUAUUUGUUCUUUGAAGAGAAGUGCAAAAAAAAAUAAUUUCAAUAUUCAUCCAUCAAGCCGGCCAGAUUAAACACCCUAGCGGGCCUUUUUUGGCCCGCGGGCCGUAUGUUUAACACCCCCUGGUUUAAAUGUGAACAGUCCGUUCUGAGCCCUCGGCUGGGGUCCAUUAACUCCUCUCUGAGUGGAAUGGCUCCUCUCUGGAGCCCCGUUCUCUUAAACUCCUCUGAACUCUGACUGAUAUUUGGCGCAUCGUGGCUGAACUCAGACGACAGGGAAUUAUGAUGUGAUGCUAAUGAGGCUAAAGCAGAUAAGUGAGCGCAGAAGCCAACGAUGGUGAGAGCACAUCAAAGGAGCUUCAUUUAGCCUCCACGAGCUCUAAUUAAUAACCGUCUUUGUCGUCUUUGUGCCGACAGGAGAGAGCGCCGUGUCUCACUUCAGUCGCUGUGUGAUGUGUGUGUCGCAGUCUCGCAAACUGGCACAAAUCCUGGGAAAAAGUAGAGGCCUCUAGAUUUCUGUGUAAAUCCUGCUGAGUCUCCACCAAAUUUAAUCCCUCACUUAAAAUGCAGGGGAUGUUGCUGCAGCAGUUUCAUUGUCCGAGACUUAAAGUCGGGAUAAAAAUGAAAAAAUAUUUCUCCGAUCUUUGCCUUGGGGGGAAAAAAAAAUAAAUUGUAAGACAGAUCUGGGGAUAUUUAAGAAAAAACUCCCAGCAGCAGCAACCUUCAACUCAGAGUAAAAAAAAACAAACAAAUAUGUCUUCAAAGUUAUUGACUGUGUCAUGAUUUCACUGUGUUUAAAAGUUCUGUGGUCUCUCUGUUGGUUCCACACAUCUGUUACAUCGCAUUACAUCACAUUCUUCAUGAAAACAUCAACCGAUGUUAUAAAAAAGUAAAAUCAAAAGUGAGAGCUAACAGCGUGUCUGUGGCUCAUCCUUCGUCUGCGAACUCUGAAAUGCCAAGAAUCGUAAAUUAUUUUCAGCGAUUGUGACCGUGUGUGAAGUUGUGAAGUGUACUCUCAUCCCUUCUGUACGUAUUUCAUCUCAUAUUUUUCCGCAGUACUUGACUGCUUUUCUGCUGCUGUGCUUACUUCCAGCCUCUAUCACCUAUUCAUCUUCUUCCAUUUCAUCAUUUUCACGGUUGUGGAGUGGAAGUGGAGCAGAUCCCAGCGUCCGUCAGGCCAGGCUGUGGUACAGACUGGACACUUCCCUGAUCCAUCACGGCUGGGGGAGAAAAAAUGAACCUGGGAACCAGUGAUUGAGCACCACCCACUACUCCACCGUACGCUCCUGCUCCUCACAAUCUGGG